CAUGGUCCUAAAACCUCCCACCCCCAACUCCCAGUCCCGUUCCCAAGAAGAUGGGGAGAAAGGGCACUGGCAACCCCAUGCAGUGAGAUCAGCCCCAGCCAGCCCAGGAGUCCCUGACAGGUGCCCAGGGCUGCCUCUCCAUGGUCCUAGAGCCCCUCGCUUAUGUGCUGAGCACCGACUGAGAAUGAAGAUGCUGGAGAAGGCUCGCCAGACCCUCGUCCCUUCCCACGCUCAAAAAUUCCAGGACUUUUCUUCCUAGAAGUUCAAGGCUGUAAACCACUUGACCCCAUAGGUGGGGGUGGGCAGGUAGGUUUGGAGUGGGGAUGGUGGCACUAUUUGUUUUCCAGUGACAAUUUCAUUUUUGGCCUGAAGUGUCCCAUAGGCACUGAGAGAACACACAGACAAGGCUGGGAGAGGCUGCAGCUCCUUGGGAGCCGUUUCUCCCACCCAGGCCCCUAAAGAGUGACUGUCACAAGCACCAGGGAUUGAGUCCUAUCACGGAUUUGCCACUGCCUGACUCUUUACUGGGAGUCUCUCGUUUCAUUCUCAGAACGGUCCUCUAGGGUGGUGGUAGCACUGCUCCAUUUUGCAGAUGAGAAAACUGAGUCUAUGAGGCGAAGUAACUUGCCCAAGGGUACACAGUUAAUACAAGGUAACAGGGCUGGCUACACA
This is a long non-coding RNA of Homo sapiens (human), 672 nucleotides long. RefSeq lists it as uncharacterized. The record is from RefSeq and is a predicted model, not a curated record. Lineage: Eukaryota; Metazoa; Chordata; Mammalia; Primates; Hominidae. The transcript is spliced from 3 exons.